AUUGAACGCUGGCGGCAGGCCUAACACAUGCAAGUCGAGCGGAUGAAGGGAGCUUGCUCCUGGAUUCAGCGGCGGACGGGUGAGUAAUGCCUAGGAAUCUGCCUGGUAGUGGGGGAUAACGUCCGGAAACGGGCGCUAAUACCGCAUACGUCCUGAGGGAGAAAGUGGGGGAUCUUCGGACCUCACGCUAUCAGAUGGGCCUAGGUCGGAUUAGCUAGUUGGUGGGGUAAAGGCCUACCAAGGCGACGAUCCGUAACUGGUCUGAGAGGAUGAUCAGUCACACUGGAACUGAGACACGGUCCAGACUCCUACGGGGGGCAGCAGUGGGGAAUAUUGGACAAUGGGCGAAAGCCUGAUCCAGCCAUGCCGCGUGUGUGAAGAAGGUCUUCGGAUUGUAAAGCACUUUAAGUUGGGAGGAAGGGCAGUAAGUUAAUACCUUGCUGUUUUGACGUUACCAACAGAAUAAGCACCGGCUAACUUCGUG
This 484-nucleotide ribosomal RNA is filed under the name uncultured bacterium. RNAcentral's name for it is "partial 16S ribosomal RNA". It matches the Rfam family "Bacterial small subunit ribosomal RNA", at positions 30 to 507 of the family's 1533-position model. The record is from RNAcentral.